GAUGAACGCUAGCGGGAGGCCUAACACAUGCAAGCCGAGCGGUAGGGUUUUUUCGGAGUCUUGAGAGCGGCUCACGGGUGCGUAACACGUGUGCAACCUACCUUUACUUGGGGGAUAGCUUUUCGAAAGGAACUUUAAUACCCCAUAAUUUAAUGAUUGGCAUCAAUGAUGAUGGAAAACUCGGUUGGAUGGAGAGGGGCACGCGCACGAUUAGACAGUUGGUGAGGUAACGGCUCACCAAGUAAAGGAUCUUUAGGGGUCCUGAGAGGGAGAUCCCCCACACGGGUACUGAGACACGGGCCAGACUGCUACGGGAGGCAGCAGUGAGGGAUAUUGGAGAAUGGGAGAGAGCCUGAUCCAGCCAUCCCGCGUGAAGGAUGGCGGUCCUAUGGAUUGUAAACUUCUUUUGGAAAGGGAUAAACCUACUCUCGUGAGGGUAGCUGAAGGUAAUGUACGAAUAAGCACCGGCUAACUCCGUG
RNAcentral lists this ribosomal RNA (479 nucleotides) under uncultured bacterium. RNAcentral's name for it is "partial 16S ribosomal RNA". It matches the Rfam family "Bacterial small subunit ribosomal RNA", at positions 28 to 507 of the family's 1533-position model. The record is from RNAcentral.